GACGUAGGGCGCGAGCGUUGUCCGGAUUUAUUGGGCGUAAAGAGCUCGUAGGCGGCUUGUCGCGUCGACCGUGAAAACUUGGGGCUCAACCCCAAGCCUGCGGUCGAUACGGGCAGGCUCGAGUUCGGUAGGGGAGACUGGAAUUCCUGGUGUAGCGGUGAAAUGCGCAGAUAUCAGGAGGAACACCGGUGGCGAAGGCGGGUCUCUGGGCCGUAACUGACACUGAGGAGCGAAAGCGUGGGGAGCGAACAGG
Molecule: ribosomal RNA, 253 nt
Filed under: uncultured bacterium
Lineage: Bacteria
Description: partial 16S ribosomal RNA
Rfam family: Bacterial small subunit ribosomal RNA
Source: RNAcentral